Molecule: transfer RNA, 70 nt
Filed under: Clonostachys rosea f. rosea IK726
Lineage: Eukaryota; Fungi; Ascomycota; Sordariomycetes; Hypocreales; Bionectriaceae
Rfam family: tRNA
About the family: Transfer RNA (tRNA) molecules are approximately 80 nucleotides in length.
Source: RNAcentral
CUCCGGUUGGCGCAAUUGGUUAGCGUACGAGACUUUUAAUCUUGUGGUUGCGAGUUCGUCGCAUCGGGUG